ACACGCGCGCGCACAUCACCGCUAUAAAACCCAGCAGGAGAUGGAAGCGGCACUCGACACAUAAGACUCCUCGAGGCCCUCUCGUUUCUCCUUCUCUACCCUCCUCAACCUCAUCAAUGGCGUACAAACAGGCAGACGCAGAGAAAAUGUUUUUCGCCCUGGACAAGGAUGGCUCGGGUUUUCUGACGAUGAACGAACUCCAGGCCGGAGCGAAGACCCUUGGCGUGGCCGAGGACAAACUCGAGGACUUCAUGCGUUCGGCGGACACAUCCGCUGAUGGCAAAAUCGACAUCAAGGAAUUCGUGGCUUACAUGACUGGAAAGUGAACCCAGGGGACCAGAACAAUGCGGACACGUGGGGAGGAGUGACAUCGCGUGCACCGCACACACACGUGUGCACACACACACGUGUACACACACACACACACGUGUACACACAACAACAACAACAACCGCCAUUCGCCACUAAGUGGCGGUGACGUCAC
Long non-coding RNA from Petromyzon marinus (sea lamprey), 484 nucleotides. RefSeq lists it as uncharacterized. The record is from RefSeq and is a predicted model, not a curated record. Lineage: Eukaryota; Metazoa; Chordata; Hyperoartia; Petromyzontiformes; Petromyzontidae.